CUUGAGGCGAGCCUUCUGGAGCUAACGCGUUAAGUCGACCGCCUGGGGAGUACGGCCGCAAGGUUAAAACUCAAAUGAAUUGACGGGGGCCCGCACAAGCGGUGGAGCAUGUGGUUUAAUUCGAUGCAACGCGAAGAACCUUACCUGGUCUUGACAUCCACAGAACUUGGCAGAGAUGCCUUGGUGCCUUCGGGAACUGUGAGACAGGUGCUGCAUGGCUGUCGUCAGCUCGUGUUGUGAAAUGUUGGGUUAAGUCCCGCAACGAGCGCAACCCUUAUCCUUUGUUGCCAGCGGUUAGGCCGGGAACUCAAAGGAGACUGCCAGUGAUAAACUGGAGGAAGGUGGGGAUGACGUCAAGUCAUCAUGGCCCUUACGACCAGGGCUACACACGUGCUACAAUGGCGCAUACAAAGAGAAGCAAUCUCGCGAGAGCUAGCGGACCUCAUAAAG
Molecule: ribosomal RNA, 450 nt
Filed under: Escherichia sp. DJM1A8
Lineage: Bacteria; Pseudomonadati; Pseudomonadota; Gammaproteobacteria; Enterobacterales; Enterobacteriaceae
Description: bacterial SSU rRNA
Rfam family: Bacterial small subunit ribosomal RNA
Source: RNAcentral